UACGUAGGGGGCGAGCGUUGUCUGGAGUUACUGGGCGUAAAGCGCACGCAGGCGGUCUGCUAAGUUUGGAGUGACAGUUGGUGGCUUAACUGCCAAAGUGCUUCGAAACUGACAGACUUGAGGGCUUCAGAGGGACACGGAAUUCCGGGUGGAGUGGUGAAAUGCGUAGAGAUCCGGAGGAACACCAAAGGCGAAGGCAGUGUCCUGGGGAGUACCUGACGCUCAGGUGCGAAAGCCAGGGGAGCGAACGGG
Molecule: ribosomal RNA, 252 nt
Filed under: uncultured bacterium
Lineage: Bacteria
Description: partial 16S ribosomal RNA
Rfam family: Bacterial small subunit ribosomal RNA
Source: RNAcentral